This 836-nucleotide ribosomal RNA is filed under the name Panorpodes paradoxus. Its description in RNAcentral is "partial 16S rRNA". Lineage: Eukaryota; Metazoa; Arthropoda; Insecta; Mecoptera; Panorpodidae. The record is from RNAcentral.
GAAGGUGUAUCUAGAAAGACAAAUUAGAGCUUGAAAAGUAAAGCAUUUCAUUUACAUUGAAAAGUAUAUUGUGUAAUUCAAUUUAAUUUGAUAAUAAAAAUUUAUUAAUUUUUUUUGUUUAAAAAUUUAUUUAAUAAAAUUAAUUUUAGAUAAAGUUUUUUUUGUAUAGUAUAUAGAUCAAAUAGUUUAUAUGAUAGUUAAUUAGUAUUGUAAAAGAAUAUUGAAAUAUGUGAAAAAGUUUUAAAUUAAAAGUAAAUUUUAUAUAUUGUACCUUGUGUAUCAGGGUUUAUUAAUUAAAAGUUAAAAAUUUAAUUUUUCUCGAAUUUAAGAGAGUUAAUUUAUUAUUUAAUUUUUUGUUUAAAAAAAAUUUAAAAUAUUAAAUUAGAAAUGAAAUGUUAUUCGUUCUUAAAUAUAUCUAGUUUUUUAAGAAAUAAAUUAAAUUUAGAUUAUUAAUAAAUAAUUAUUUAUUUAAAUAAUAAAUUAUUAUUAAUAAUUAAUAUUUUAGGGGAUAAGCUUUAAAAUAAGUUUUAUAAUAAUUUUUUAAUUUGAAAAUUAUAGGUUUAGAAAUAGUCAUUAAUUAUAAAAAUGUUAUAAUUUAUUUUAAAUUAAAAAUAAUUUUUAUUAAUUUAAGUUUUUAUUAAAAUAAUUUUUAAAAUAAAAUAAGAAUUGAAAUAAUGAUAAAAUUAGUAUAUUUAAUUGUUUAAAAUAAAUAAAUUGAAAGGUUAAAUUAAGGAACUUGGCAAAUAAAUACUCGCCUGUUUAACAAAAACAUGUCUUUUUGAAUAUAAUUUAAAGUCUAAUCUGCCCACUGAAAAAUUUUAAAGGGCCGCGGUAUU